UUAAGCGACUAAGCGUACACGGUGGAUGCCCUGGCAGUCAGAGGCGAUGAAGGACGUGCUAAUCUGCGAAAAGCGUCGGUAAGGUGAUAUGAACCGUUAUAACCGGCGAUGUCCGAAUGGGGAAACCCAGUGCAAUUCGUUGCACUAUCGUUAACUGAAUACAUAGGUUAACGAGGCGAACCGGGGGAACUGAAACAUCUAAGUACCCCGAGGAAAAGAAAUCAACCGAGAUUCCCCCAGUAGCGGCGAGCGAACGGGGAGCAGCCCAGAGUCUGAAUCAGCUUGUGUGUUAGUGGAACGGUCUGGAAAGUCCGACGGUACAGGGUGAUAGUCCCGUACACCAAAAUGCACAGGUUGUGAACUCGAAGAGUAGGGCGGGACACGUGGUAUCCUGUCUGAAUAUGGGGGGACCAUCCUCCAAGGCUAAAUACUCCUGACUGACCGAUAGUGAACCAGUACCGUGAGGGAAAGGCGAAAAGAACCCCGGCGAGGGGAGUGAAAAAGAACCUGAAACCGUGUACGUACAAGCAGUGGGAGCACCUUCGGGUGUGACUGCGUACCUUUUGUAUAAUGGGUCAGCGACUUAUAUUCUGUAGCAAGGUUAACCGUAUAGGGGAGCCGCAGGGAAACCGAGUCUUAACUGGGCGUUAAGUUGCAGGGUAUAGACCCGAAACCCGGUGAUCUAGCCAUGGGCAGGUUGAAGGUUGGGUAACACUAACUGGAGGACCGAACCGACUAAUGUUGAAAAAUUAGCGGAUGACUUGUGGCUGGGGGUGAAAGGCCAAUCAAACCGGGAGAUAGCUGGUUCUCCCCGAAAGCUAUUUAGGUAGCGCCUCGUGAAUUCAUCUUCGGGGGUAGAGCACUGUUUCGGCUAGGGGGUCAUCCCGACUUACCAACCCGAUGCAAACUACGAAUACCGAAGAAUGUUAUCACGGGAGACACACGGCGGGUGCUAACGUCCGUCGUGAAGAGGGAAACAACCCAGACCGCCAGCUAAGGUCCCAAAGUCAUGGUUAAGUGGGAAACGAUGUGGGAAGGCACAGACAGCCAGGAUGUUGGCUUAGAAGCAGCCAUCAUUUAAAGAAAGCGUAAUAGCUCACUGGUCGAGUCGGCCUGCGCGGAAGAUGUAACGGGGCUAAACCAUGCACCGAAGCUGCGGCAGCGACACUAUGUGUUGUUGGGUAGGGGAGCGUUCUGUAAGCCUGCGAAGGUGACCUGUGAGGGUUGCUGGAGGUAUCAGAAGUGCGAAUGCUGACAUAAGUAACGAUAAAGCGGGUGAAAAGCCCGCUCGCCGGAAGACCAAGGGUUCCUGUCCAACGUUAAUCGGGGCAGGGUGAGUCGACCCCUAAGGCGAGGCCGAAAGGCGUAGUCGAUGGGAAACAGGUUAAUAUUCCUGUACUUGGUGUUACUGCGAAGGGGGGACGGAGAAGGCUAUGUUAGCCGGGCGACGGUUGUCCCGGUUUAAGCAUGUAGGCUGGUUGUCCAGGCAAAUCCGGAUAAUCAAGGCUGAGGUGUGAUGACGAGGCACUACGGUGCUGAAGUAACAAAUGCCCUGCUUCCAGGAAAAGCCUCUAAGCAUCAGGUAACAUCAAAUCGUACCCCAAACCGACACAGGUGGUCAGGUAGAGAAUACCAAGGCGCUUGAGAGAACUCGGGUGAAGGAACUAGGCAAAAUGGUGCCGUAACUUCGGGAGAAGGCACGCUGGUGUGUAGGUGAAGUCCCUGCGGAUGGAGCUGAGACCAGUCGAAGAUACCAGCUGGCUGCAACUGUUUAUUAAAAACACAGCACUGUGCAAACACGAAAGUGGACGUAUACGGUGUGACGCCUGCCCGGUGCCGGAAGGUUAAUUGAUGGGGUUAUCCGUAAGGAGAAGCUCUUGAUCGAAGCCCCGGUAAACGGCGGCCGUAACUAUAACGGUCCUAAGGUAGCGAAAUUCCUUGUCGGGUAAGUUCCGACCUGCACGAAUGGCGUAAUGAUGGCCAGGCUGUCUCCACCCGAGACUCAGUGAAAUUGAACUCGCUGUGAAGAUGCAGUGUACCCGCGGCAAGACGGAAAGACCCCGUGAACCUUUACUAUAGCUUGACACUGAACAUUGAGCCUUGAUGUGUAGGAUAGGUGGGAGGCUUUGAAGCGUGGACGCCAGUCUGCGUGGAGCCAACCUUGAAAUACCACCCUUUAAUGUUUGAUGUUCUAACGUUGGCCCCUGACCGGGGUUGCGGACAGUGUCUGGUGGGUAGUUUGACUGGGGCGGUCUCCUCCCAAAGCGUAACGGAGGAGCACGAAGGUUAGCUAAUCCUGGUCGGACAUCAGGAGGUUAGUGCAAUGGCAUAAGCUAGCUUGACUGCGAGCGUGACGGCGCGAGCAGGUGCGAAAGCAGGUCAUAGUGAUCCGGUGGUUCUGAAUGGAAGGGCCAUCGCUCAACGGAUAAAAGGUACUCCGGGGAUAACAGGCUGAUACCGCCCAAGAGUUCAUAUCGACGGCGGUGUUUGGCACCUCGAUGUCGGCUCAUCACAUCCUGGGGCUGAAGUAGGUCCCAAGGGUAUGGCUGUUCGCCAUUUAAAGUGGUACGCGAGCUGGGUUUAGAACGUCGUGAGACAGUUCGGUCCCUAUCUGCCGUGGGCGCUGGAGAAUUGAGGGGGGCUGCUCCUAGUACGAGAGGACCGGAGUGGACGCAUCACUGGUGUUCGGGUUGUCAUGCCAAUGGCACUGCCCGGUAGCUAAAUGCGGAAGAGAUAAGUGCUGAAAGCAUCUAAGCACGAAACUUGCCCCGAGAUGAGUUCUCCCUGAGACUAUAAGUCUCCUGAAGGAACGUUAAAGACGAUGACGUUGAUAGGCCGGGUGUGUAAGCGCAGCGAUGCGUUGAGCUAACCGGUACUAAUGAACCGUGAGGCUUAACCU
RNAcentral lists this ribosomal RNA (2899 nucleotides) under Klebsiella pneumoniae. RNAcentral describes it as "bacterial LSU rRNA". It matches the Rfam family "Bacterial large subunit ribosomal RNA". The record is from RNAcentral. Lineage: Bacteria; Pseudomonadati; Pseudomonadota; Gammaproteobacteria; Enterobacterales; Enterobacteriaceae.